AUGGGAGUGCUACAGUCUCACUGCCGGGUCUGGGUCUGGUGCCUGUCCCUGCAGCCCAGGAGCAGGGUCCGCAUUCGCCCUAGGGCUGUUCCCAAAGGAAGAGGUCUCCUCCCUUGCCAGAGAGGUGCGCAUGCUCAGACCCCGGUGCCCGGCCUUCGACAGAGAGGUGCGCAUGCUCAGACCCCGGUGCCCGGCCUUCGACAGAGAGGUGCGCAUGCUCAGACCCCAGUGCCUAUCCGACGAGAGAUGGCGGCGGCUGGAACGUUCCCGGCUCAGAGGCACCGCUCCGCUCUCUUCCCGCCCGGAGCCGGGACGGACCUUCGGGAUGACAGGUGCGAUUUCGGCCUUCGCUGCCCUCGCGGUUGCGUGCUGGGUGUUUCUGGGUGCGGGGCGGCCCGGCCCGCGGGAAUGGAGGCUAACCCCCCCGUGGGUGUAGGGCACAUAUCGACCCAGGAUGGAGAGUGGACAUGCUCCCCCGGGCUCCUGGUGCCGGCCACUGGGGCUCUGGGGACUAAGCCAGUGGCUGGAAGAUCUCUGUCUCUCUGAGUGGAAGCCUGGCUGUGGAACGCAGCGGCGCCCUGGGGCCUGCAGCUGUUUCCCCUGGGCUUGGCCCCCGGUGCCCCGGCGGUGUGGUUGCUCUGGGCCCUUCGCUGCAGUCGGGCCUGGCCAUGAGCGUGGCUGCACGCCAGGUCCUGUGAGCAGGAGUCAGUAACAUGGAAGAUGAAACCGGGGCGAGUCUGGGUCUCCUGACAACCAGGACUGGGUUCCUGCCCGAUCGUCUGCUGGUCCACUUCACAUCCUGGAGGCAGAACUGCUGGGCCAUCGCCCCACCCUGCACACUGGGACGUGGUGUGAACUCCCUGCCUGCCUCAGCCCCGCCCCCACCCUGCACACUGGGACGUGGUGUGCACUCCCUGCCUGCCUCAGCCCCGCCCACCCUGCACACUGGAACAUGGUGUGCACUCCCUGCCUGCCUCAGUCCCACCCACCCUGCACACUGGGACAUGGUGUGCACUCCCUGCCUGCCUCAGCCCCGCCCCCACCCUGCACACUGGGACAUGGUGUGCACUCCCAGCCUGCCUCAGCCCCGCCCACCCUGCACACUGGAACAUGGUGUGCACUCCCGGCCUGCCUCAGCCCCCCCCCCACCCCGCACCCGGAGACGGGGUGCACACUCUCCGUCUAACUGAACCCCCUACACCCCUCUCACUUACA
This 1215-nucleotide long non-coding RNA is filed under the name Oryctolagus cuniculus (rabbit). Its description in RNAcentral is "lncRNA (ENSOCUG00000035068.1)". The record is from RNAcentral. Lineage: Eukaryota; Metazoa; Chordata; Mammalia; Lagomorpha; Leporidae.